GAGGGUGUAGCUCAGUGGUAGAGUGCACGCUUAGCAUGCAUGAGGUCCUGGGUUCAAUCCCCAGUGCCUCCA
RNAcentral lists this transfer RNA (72 nucleotides) under Camelus bactrianus (Bactrian camel). It matches the Rfam family "tRNA". From Rfam's summary of the family: Transfer RNA (tRNA) molecules are approximately 80 nucleotides in length. Their secondary structure includes four short double-helical elements and three loops (D, anti-codon, and T loops). Lineage: Eukaryota; Metazoa; Chordata; Mammalia; Artiodactyla; Camelidae. RNAcentral also lists the same sequence under 2 other names. The record is from Rfam by way of RNAcentral.